CAGCAGCCGCGGUAAUACGUAGGUGGCAAGCGUUGUCCGGAAUUAUUGGGCGUAAAGGGCUCGCAGGCGGUUUCUUAAGUCUGAUGUGAAAGCCCCCGGCUCAACCGGGGAGGGUCAUUGGAAACUGGGAAACUUGAGUGCAGAAGAGGAGAGUGGAAUUCCACGUGUAGCGGUGAAAUGCGUAGAGAUGUGGAGGAACACCAGUGGCGAAGGCGACUCUCUGGUCUGUAACUGACGCUGAGGAGCGAAAGCGUGGGGAGCGAACAGGAUUAGAUACCCCGGUAGUCCCUGUCCUUAUACC
Molecule: ribosomal RNA, 301 nt
Filed under: uncultured bacterium
Lineage: Bacteria
Description: partial 16S ribosomal RNA
Rfam family: Bacterial small subunit ribosomal RNA
Source: RNAcentral